GGAAAUGAAGACACCCACCUAACACAAUAUCCAGAAGUAGGUGGCAGGAGGAACAUGCAGCUGCUUGAGCAAGUCGUCCAGGAUCCAGCUCUUCCAGAUUCCUGCGGCACCAUCCUCCACACGUGGCAUUCUUCCUCAUGAUUAUAAGAAGAGGAUGUCUGGACACUCAGAGAGACAGCAGGGACACCCAUGCACAAAGGAAAGGCCAUGUGAGGACGCUGUGAGAAGGCGGCUGUCUGCAAGCCAAGGAGAGAGGUCUCAAGAGAAACUGGCCUGGCAGCCACCUUGCUCUCAGACUUGUAGCCUCCAGAAUGGAUCGGGUCAGAAUGUGUAUUCAGUGCACCUCGAAGUCAUGUCAUGGAAUCAAAAUGUAUUAAUCAAACCCCUACUGUGCGCGGAGACUGUGCUGGUCCUGAAAUAGAAGAUGGUUAGGAAAAGCAGGUGCUUUUUGAGAACUGCUAUUUGAGAGACCAGGUGGAACAGUGGUUAUAGGCAGAGACUGAGGGGUAAGACUGACCAGGCUUCAAUCAUGGCCCUUCUUCACUAGCUGCAGGACUUAGGAAAGG
Molecule: non-coding RNA, 566 nt
Organism: Macaca mulatta (Rhesus monkey)
Lineage: Eukaryota; Metazoa; Chordata; Mammalia; Primates; Cercopithecidae
Source: RefSeq, a predicted model, not a curated record